GUCUAUGGCCAUUCUACCCUGAACAAGCCCGAUCCUGUCUGAUCUCAGAAGCUAAGCAGGGUCAGGCCUGGUUAGUACUUGGAUGGGAGACCACCUAGGAAGGCCAGGUGCUACGGGCA
Molecule: ribosomal RNA, 119 nt
Filed under: Pteropus alecto (black flying fox)
Lineage: Eukaryota; Metazoa; Chordata; Mammalia; Chiroptera; Pteropodidae
Source: RNAcentral